ACGUUAUGUGACAACAGAGCGACUAUGAAUAAUUACCACCUGAGUAUUUCGAAAUGUUGCUAUAACCAGCGUAAGGCAAGCGAGUGGCCCAGAUCCAGUUGGGCUUGAAUCCAAAGUUCAAUAUGGCACUGAUUGGAGUGGCUGAGAGGUGUGAAGAAGAUAUACAGAUACAAAAAGGAGGAAGAGGAAAAGUACUGUGUAAAAGAUGAAGAGUGGGCAAGCUGUGCAGCUUCAUUUUGAAGGACACUCACUGGCCACUGCAGACAGCCU
This is a long non-coding RNA of Pygocentrus nattereri (red-bellied piranha), 270 nucleotides long. RefSeq lists it as uncharacterized. The transcript has 3 exons. NCBI's taxonomy places the organism in Eukaryota, Metazoa, Chordata, Actinopteri, Characiformes, Serrasalmidae. The record is from RefSeq and is a predicted model, not a curated record.